Molecule: long non-coding RNA, 1223 nt
Filed under: Bemisia tabaci
Lineage: Eukaryota; Metazoa; Arthropoda; Insecta; Hemiptera; Aleyrodidae
Description: lncRNA ENSSSA2NGG006280
Source: RNAcentral
UAUACAUUGGCUGAUCAAUCAUAGAGAUGUUACCGGCAAACCCCGUUUUUCAGGCAGACCUAGGUCUGCCUAGGCAAACCUAGGUCUGCCUAGGUAGACCUAGGUCUGCCAAGCACCUCGUUUGGCAAACCUAGGAUUGCCUGAAAAUUUUAGGCAGACCUAGGUUUGCCAAAAGUGAUUUUAGGCAAACUAGGUUUGCCAAACGAUUUUUUUGGCAAACCCCGUUUCUGAUUUCUACCGCUAAAGUGACUUUACCGGAAAACUUUUUCUACCGCUAAAGUGACUUUACCGGAAAACUUUUCACCGCUAAAGUGGCCUUACCGGAAAACUUUUUCUACCGCUAAAGUGACUUUACCGGAAAACUUUUUCUACCGCUAAACUGACAUUACCGGAAAACUUUUUCUACCGCUAAAGUGACUUUACCGGAAAACUUUUUCUACCGCUAAAGUGGCCUUAGCGGAAAACUUUUUCUACCGCUAAAGUGACAGUACGAAUUCAAUGAGAAACAACUAUUUAUCCCCACGCAGACCGGGGCGAGCGGUGGUUUAUUAUAAAAGAAUCACAGGUGAGGCUGAAUAACAGUGUAACAUAAUAUCACAAGUGCUUAAAACAGGGCACGAGAAAUCUGAAUAGCAAAAAAAAUUGGAAAAAAAUGCAAAAUUUACAAUUACAAUUUGAAAAAAGAUACAAUUUGAAAUCGUUACAGAUUCCUUGUCACUUUUUUAACAUAAUAUCAUAAUAUCACAAGUGCUUAAAAAAGGGCAUGAGGGAAAACGUUACACAAUUGAUGCAAUUCGAAAUCAUUAUAGAUUUCUUGUCACUUUUUUAUUUUUUAGAGGAAAAGUACAUUCAAAGGAAAUUUAUUUAUUGUUGCAGCUGAGGCUGGAGUGACAUUUGGAGUUGCACAGUUUGCCAUUUUUGCGGCACUUACACUGGUUUGAGGUGCAACCUUUUUUGCAGUUGCACCUUUCGAACCCCUGCGCAGAACCCCCAGCAACACUGGCUGCGGCCGCACGUACCGUAACCUUUUUUUCGACUGGCACCUCACUGACCGAUAUGAAGGCCGUGGCGCACACGUCGAAUUCCGACCGACAGUACCUUUUAGGGAGGAUGCCGUCUUUGGUCCCUAUUUUGUAUAACUCGUAAAAUAAACAGAAAAAAAAAUUGAUAAAAAUAAUGGUUAACUACGAAACUUACCAAGCUCUGCUUUCAACCGGUCUCGA